Molecule: ribosomal RNA, 253 nt
Filed under: uncultured bacterium
Lineage: Bacteria
Description: partial 16S ribosomal RNA
Rfam family: Bacterial small subunit ribosomal RNA
Source: RNAcentral
UACAGAGGUCUCAAGCGUUGUUCGGAUUCAUUGGGCGUAAAGGGUGCGUAGGCGGCGCGGUAAGUCGGGUGUGAAAUCUCGGGGCUUAACUCCGAAACUGCAUUCGAUACUGCCGUGCUUGAGGACUGGAGAGGAGACUGGAAUUUACGGUGUAGCGGUGAAAUGCGUAGAUAUCGUAAGGAAGACCAGUGGCGAAGGCGGGUCUCUGGACAGUUCCUGACGCUGAGGCACAAAGGCCAGGGGAGCAAACGGG